UGCCCCCAGAUAGGUACUUGUACGCCUAGGGAAAGACGCUGCUAGGUGCUGCUGCUAAAUCCCUGUGGUUUCUGCCAGCCACAUGCGGCCAUUGCCGGCUCACGUAGGUUCGUUCGCGUGGUCUUGUUACGCCUCGCUGGAUCGUGUUCAGUCAUGCCGUCCUUGCGCGGCGUGAUUGUCGGCGAGUCAGGUUAAAUUCUUAAAUAGGUCGCGCCUGCGCCUAAUUGAGUCUAUAAAAGCCUGCACAUUCAGUUUUGCUAGCUACAAUGCAGUGCGGCUGGCGUGAGCUGUCUCCACGAUGCGCUUCGAGCGUGUCGAUUUCGCCGUUCUUUAUGUUGGCGUUAACGACCUUGAAAGCAACAUGGAUCCACAAGAAAUGUGCGACAACAUCAAGGCCUUGAUUGUUCAACGAGACGGCCCCCGUCGUGCUGGUUUUCAAGGUGCUCCCUCGCUGCCUAGAAGAUGCUGAUGCGGAAUAGAAAAUGCAAAAACGUCGCUUGCUCAACCGCAAAUUGACGGCUACGCUGAAGCGCAUGCCGUGUCUGCGGAAUUUGAACCCCGAGCUUUCCAGAGUUCCUUGGAAAAUCCUCCCAUGCACCUGCCAUGUACAUUGCCCUCCUCCUCGAUGUGGCGUGCAAGAUGGCAGCAGCAGCUGUGGGAACAGUUGAAGAGGCGAAGAAAGGUCCACUUUAUAAUAGGUUGUAUGUAAAUAAAACUGAUCGACCUCAA
Dermacentor andersoni is the source of this 729-nucleotide non-coding RNA. NCBI's taxonomy places the organism in Eukaryota, Metazoa, Arthropoda, Arachnida, Ixodida, Ixodidae. The record is from RefSeq and is a predicted model, not a curated record.